RNAcentral lists this ribosomal RNA (216 nucleotides) under Canis lupus familiaris (dog). RNAcentral's name for it is "partial 12S ribosomal RNA". The record is from RNAcentral. Lineage: Eukaryota; Metazoa; Chordata; Mammalia; Carnivora; Canidae.
GUUGGUAAAUUUCGUGCCAGCCACCGCGGUCAUACGAUUAACCCAAACUAAUAGGCCUACGGCGUAAAGCGUGUUCAAGAUACUUUUACACUAAAGUUAAAACUUAACUAAGCCGUAAAAAGCUACAGUUAUCAUAAAAUAAACCACGAAAGUGACUUUAUAAUAAUCUGACUACACGAUAGCUAAAACCCAAACUGGGAUUAGAUACCCCACUAU